AUCAGACUGAAACUUAGAUUAAAGAUGUUUCAUGGACCUGAACUUUAAUCUCUGAACACUUCAGUUUAAUCUGUGAGAUUUAAGUUCAGGUCCAUGAAACAUCUUUAAUCUAAGUUUCAGUUUUU
Non-coding RNA from Xyrichtys novacula (pearly razorfish), 125 nucleotides. The record is from the annotation of a GenBank genome assembly. Lineage: Eukaryota; Metazoa; Chordata; Actinopteri; Labriformes; Labridae.